GACGAACGCUGGCGGCGCGCCUAACACAUGCAAGUCGAACGGAGAUAUUUCGUCAGAAGUUUCGGAUGGACGAUGGGAUAUCUUAGUGGCGAACGGGUGAGUAACACGUGAGCAACCUGCCUUUCAGAGGGGGACAACAUUUGGAAACGAAUGCUAAUACCGCAUAAGACCACAGUGCCGCAUGGCAGAGGGGUCAAAGGAGCAAUCCGCUGAAAGAUGGGCUCGCGUCCGAUUAGGUAGUUGGUGAGGUAACGGCCCACCAAGCCGACGAUCGGUAGCCGGACUGAGAGGUUGAACGGCCACAUUGGGACUGAGACACGGCCCAGACUCCUACGGGAGGCAGCAGUGGGGAAUAUUGCACAAUGGGGGAAACCCUGAUGCAGCGACGCCGCGUGGAGGAAGAAGGUCUUCGGAUUGUAAACUCCUGUCCGAGGGGACGAUAAUGACGGUACCCUUGGAGGAAGCACCGGCUAACUACGUGCCAGCAGCCGCGGUAAAACGUAGGGUGCAAGCGUUGUC
RNAcentral lists this ribosomal RNA (519 nucleotides) under uncultured bacterium. Its description in RNAcentral is "bacterial SSU rRNA". It matches the Rfam family "Bacterial small subunit ribosomal RNA", at positions 28 to 545 of the family's 1533-position model. The record is from RNAcentral.